AAAUUGAAGAGUUUGAUCAUGGCUCAGAUUGAACGCUGGCGGCAGGCCUAACACAUGCAAGUCGAACGGUAACAGGAAGCAGCUUGCUGCUUCGCUGACGAGUGGCGGACGGGUGAGUAAUGUCUGGGAAACUGCCUGAUGGAGGGGGAUAACUACUGGAAACGGUGGCUAAUACCGCAUAACGUCGCAAGACCAAAGAGGGGGACCUUCGGGCCUCUUGCCAUCAGAUGUGCCCAGAUGGGAUUAGCUGGUUGGUGAGGUAACGGCUCACCAAGGCGACGAUCCCUAGCUGGUCUGAGAGGAUGACCAGCCACACUGGAACUGAGACACGGUCCAGACUCCUACGGGAGGCAGCAGUGGGGAAUAUUGCACAAUGGGCGCAAGCCUGAUGCAGCCAUGCCGCGUGUAUGAAGAAGGCCUUCGGGUUGUAAAGUACUUUCAGCGGGGAGGAAGGUGUUGUGGUUAAUAACCGCAGCAAUUGACGUUACCCGCAGAAGAAGCACCGGCUAACUCCGUGCCAGCAGCCGCGGUAAUACGGAGGGUGCAAGCGUUAAUCGGAAUUACUGGGCGUAAAGCGCACGCAGGCGGUCUGUCAAGUCGGAUGUGAAAUCCCCGGGCUCAACCUGGGAACUGCAUUCGAAACUGGCAGGCUUGAGUCUUGUAGAGGGGGGUAGAAUUCCAGGUGUAGCGGUGAAAUGCGUAGAGAUCUGGAGGAAUACCGGUGGCGAAGGCGGCCCCCUGGACAAAGACUGACGCUCAGGUGCGAAAGCGUGGGGAGCAAACAGGAUUAGAUACCCUGGUAGUCCACGCCGUAAACGAUGUCUACUUGGAGGUUGUGCCCUUGAGGCGUGGCUUCCGGAGCUAACGCGUUAAGUAGACCGCCUGGGGAGUACGGCCGCAAGGUUAAAACUCAAAUGAAUUGACGGGGGCCCGCACAAGCGGUGGAGCAUGUGGUUUAAUUCGAUGCAACGCGAAGAACCUUACCUGGUCUUGACAUCCACAGAACUUUCCAGAGAUGGACUGGUGCCUUCGGGAACUGUGAGACAGGUGCUGCAUGGCUGUCGUCAGCUCGUGUUGUGAAAUGUUGGGUUAAGUCCCGCAACGAGCGCAACCCUUAUCCUUUGUUGCCAGCGGUUAGGCCGGGAACUCAAAGGAGACUGCCAGUGAUAAACUGGAGGAAGGUGGGGAUGACGUCAAGUCAUCAUGGCCCUUACGACCAGGGCUACACACGUGCUACAAUGGCGCAUACAAAGAGAAGCGACCUCGCGAGAGCAAGCGGACCUCAUAAAGUGCGUCGUAGUCCGGAUUGGAGUCUGCAACUCGACUCCAUGAAGUCGGAAUCGCUAGUAAUCGUGGAUCAGAAUGCCACGGUGAAUACGUUCCCGGGCCUUGUACACACCGCCCGUCACACCAUGGGAGUGGGUUGCAAAAGAAGUAGGUAGCUUAACCUUCGGGAGGGCGCUUACCACUUUGUGAUUCAUGACUGGGGUGAAGUCGUAACAAGGUAACCGUAGGGGAACCUGCGGUUGGAUCACCUCCUUACCUUAAAGAAGC
RNAcentral lists this ribosomal RNA (1554 nucleotides) under Salmonella enterica subsp. enterica serovar Senftenberg. RNAcentral's name for it is "bacterial SSU rRNA". It matches the Rfam family "Bacterial small subunit ribosomal RNA". The record is from RNAcentral. RNAcentral also lists the same sequence under 1 other name. Lineage: Bacteria; Pseudomonadati; Pseudomonadota; Gammaproteobacteria; Enterobacterales; Enterobacteriaceae.